GACGAACGCUGGCGGCGUGCUUAACACAUGCAAGUCGAACGGAAAGGCCCUGCUUUUGUGGGGUGCUCGAGUGGCGAACGGGUGAGUAACACGUGAGUAACCUGCCCUUGACUUUGGGAUAACUUCAGGAAACUGGGGCUAAUACCGGAUAGGAGCUCCUGCUGCAUGGUGGGGGUUGGAAAGUUUCCGCGGUUGGGGAUGGACUCGCGGCUUAUCAGCUUGUUGGUGGGGUAGUGGCAUACCAAGGCUUUGACGGGUAGCCGGCCUGAGAGGGUGACCGGCCACAUUGGGACUGAGAUACGGCCCAGACUCCUACGGGAGGCAGCAGUGGGGAAUAUUGCACAAUGGGCGGAAGCCUGAUGCAGCAACGCCGCGUGCGGGAUGACGGCCUUCGGGUUGUAAACCGCUUUCGCCUGUGACGAAGCGUGAGUGACGGUAAUGGGUAAAGAAGCACCGGCUAACUACGUG
RNAcentral lists this ribosomal RNA (468 nucleotides) under uncultured bacterium. RNAcentral's name for it is "partial 16S ribosomal RNA". It matches the Rfam family "Bacterial small subunit ribosomal RNA", at positions 28 to 507 of the family's 1533-position model. The record is from RNAcentral.